RNAcentral lists this ribosomal RNA (484 nucleotides) under uncultured bacterium. RNAcentral describes it as "partial 16S ribosomal RNA". It matches the Rfam family "Bacterial small subunit ribosomal RNA", at positions 30 to 507 of the family's 1533-position model. The record is from RNAcentral.
AUUGAACGCUGGCGGCAGGUCUAACACAUGCAAGUCGAGCGGAUGAAGGGAGCUUGCUCCUGGAUUCAGCGGCGGACGGUUGAGUAAUGCCUAGGAAUCUGCCUGGUAGUGGGGGAUAACGUCCGGAAACGGGCGCUAAUACCGCAUACAUCCUGAGGGAGAAAGUGGGGGAUCUUCGGACCUCACGCUAUCAGAUGAGCCUAGGUCGGAUUAGCUAGUUGGUGGGGUAAAGGCCUACCAAGGCGACGAUCCGUAACUGGUCUGAGAGGAUGAUCAGUCACACUGGAACUGAGACACGGUCCAGAUUCCUAAGGAAGGCAGCAGUAGGGAAUUAUGGACCAUAGUCAAAAGAGUGAGCCAGCAAUGCGGCGUGUGUGAAGAAGGUCUUCGGAUGGUAAAACGCUGUUAGUGGGGAGGAAGGGCAGUAAGUUAAUCCCUUGCUGUUUUGACGUUACCAACAGAAUAAGCACCGGCUAACUUCGUG